AACUAUAUGUUAUUAUAUAUAGCUAUUCUUGCUCAAUGAUUUUAAAUAGCCGCAGUACCCUGMCUGUGCAAAGGUAGCAUAAUCAGUUGGCUUUUAAUUGGAGUCUGGCAUGAACGGAUUUCUGGAAAGUAACUGUAUCUUAUUUAUUUACGCGAAAUUAAUUUGUAAGUGAAAAUACUUACAUCUUUAGAGAGGACGAGAAGACCCUAGAAAUUUCUUUUAUUUUGUUGGGGCGACAGAAUUACAAUUAAACUAAUUUGAAUUAACGUGGCGUUAUUACAGUUCGAUUAAAUUACUCUAGGGAUAACAGCAUAAUUUAACUAGUUUGUGACCUCGAUGUUGGACUAGGACAUUAAUGGUUUAGAAGACCUUUAAUAGUGCUCUGUUCGAGCAAUAUUUCCU
Molecule: ribosomal RNA, 402 nt
Filed under: Theba pisana
Lineage: Eukaryota; Metazoa; Mollusca; Gastropoda; Stylommatophora; Helicidae
Description: partial large subunit ribosomal RNA
Source: RNAcentral